RNAcentral lists this ribosomal RNA (496 nucleotides) under uncultured bacterium. RNAcentral's name for it is "partial 16S ribosomal RNA". It matches the Rfam family "Bacterial small subunit ribosomal RNA", at positions 29 to 507 of the family's 1533-position model. The record is from RNAcentral.
AUAAACGCUGGCGGCGUGCCUCAUCCAUGCAAGUCGAGCGAACAGACGAGGAGCUUGCUCCUCUGACGUUAGCGGCGGACGGGUGAGUAACACGUGGAUAACCUACCUAUAAGACUGGGAUAACUUCGGGAAACCGGAGCUAAUACCGGAUAAUAUAUUGAACCGCAUGGUUCAAUAGUGAAAGACGGUUUUGCUGUCACUUAUAGAUGGAUCCGCGCCGCAUUAGCUAGUUGGUAAGGUAACGGCUUACCAAGGCGACGAUGCGUAGCCGACCUGAGAGGGUGAUCGGCCACACUGGAACUGAGACACGGUCCAGACUCCUACGGGAGGCAGCAGUAGGGAAUCUUCCGCAAUGGGCGAAAGCCUGACGGAGCAACGCCGCGUGAGUGAUGAAGGUCUUCGGAUCGUAAAACUCUGUUAUUAGGGAAGAACAAAUGUGUAAGUAACUAUGCACGUCUUGACGGUACCUAAUCAGAAAGCCACGGCUAACUACGUG